Long non-coding RNA from Cyprinus carpio carpio, 2170 nucleotides. The record is from Ensembl. Lineage: Eukaryota; Metazoa; Chordata; Actinopteri; Cypriniformes; Cyprinidae.
UCCAAAUUGGAUGAAGAGGGGAUGGAGGUUGCUGUGUGUCACCAUGGGUUUCUUCUGAAAGCCCUUAAUAUGUACAGGGGAGAGAUAUUUGCCUACCCUCUGUAUCUUCAGAAGGAGCUCAUGCCAGCCAAGGCAAAAUUAUUUGCGAUGGAUGGGGCUUGCAAAUAUUGGCCAUAUUUGGAGAAAGCUGCUAGAGUCCUUCCUGCUCUUCAGGAGCUCACCGAAAUGAAACCAUUCCUCAGUGUAAUGCAUGCUCGAGCCCAUGCUACAAAGUGUGAGAUUAAAUGGAAUGGUAGGAACCAGGAAGGAGCAGGAACAACAGCUGGUGAGGAGGUGGAGCAAGUGAACAGCUACCUCUCACGUUGUGCCCUGACGACCAAAUAUAUGUCUAAAGCAGCACGGGUGGACAUGCUUACCAUGCAUGCAAUGGGGUGGAACCACAAAAAAAGUCUCUCUCUACAUCAGGCACUUUCCACAAGAUAUGUGAAGUUACUGCAGUUUUGCUUUCACUUUUUGAAAAGCAUUUUGGUGUUGGAGACAUGGCAGUGGUUCUCAAGAACAAGAUGGCUGAGGAGGGUAAGUUGAAUAAAAUCCCUACUGUUACGAACUUUUAAAGUUCCAGGGGUUGGAACGCAACAUUUAGUUAUAUUGCUGGGAUGGUGGAGAUUGUAGAAAUGACCAGACAAAAGUACGGAGUUAACCCCAAUUAAAUGUUUUAAUUUCCAAAAAGCCGAAGCCACUAGACAGUGUGUGAGCUAUGUACAAUGCAUAUAUUAGACAAAAAAGAAAAUACAUUAAGUUAAGGGGAAAACGGAACGAGGGCGGUGCCCAAAUCAACAAAAAGAAUAAAACAAAAAUAGGUCAGAAACCCUCUAACCUAACUAACCAAAAGAAAAGGUAGAAAACAAACCCGGAAUCUUCUGCGUAUGCGACGCCUCAACUAAACUACCCUAUCUAACAAUCCAAAAUUACAAAAAGGGCACUCACCACUUACCUAGUGUGUCUAACACCUGUUAGCUGCGGGCAAUAUGUAACCGAGAUCGCACGACACACUAAACUUCCCCAUCUCCCCCCAGUAAAGAGAAGAACAGUUAUCAGCCCAACUCAGACACAAGUCAAUACAGCGAACAAGCAUCGGGCUUACAUCAUAACAAAAAUACAAAAUGCUAACCACAAGCAACAACGCCAAGACCUGAACACACACUGAGCCCCUCAGCGCAGCACGCCGAGAGACCUUUAAUCAGCAGGCUGACAUCGGAUUGGCUGCAGAGACCACGCCCUUAAUGAUGAUCGACAGCCGCCUCCUCCAUUCAGCAGAUACCUGAGAGCAAAGACGACAGCCUAGAGAACGGUAAAGACAGAAAAGGGAGGGACAAAGAAACUCGCAGCACAUAACACCUACCAUUUAAAGUAUGAAUUUCAAAUAAUAAAUAAACAUUAUCAGUCUCAGCCACAGAACUUGGAUGGAGUAGAAAGGUUAUUGUUCUUUUUGCCACAUUUGGCUUGUACGUGCUGCUUAUGUACUCUGCAUAGUUCAUGCUUAUUAAAGUCUGGUUAAAGUCACUGUCACAGAUGUGGUUAAUAAUUUAGUGGAAUAGCUUGAGCCUGUAGUGAAUGUCAGUGUUAAUUCAAGCCAGGCUUUUUCAACUGAGGACAGCUUACAUUAGCUGCGUUGAUGGAAUACCCCCUGUUACUGUUACUCUUAAUAAUGUAUUUGUGUAUUUAUUAAUGCUUUACACACCUUGUUCAUUCUAAAACAGCUAAACUUCACCUUCUUAUCCUACCUCUUGCCUUUUUGUUUUUCUGUAUCUUCCCAGAUGGAAGCUACUCAAAGGACUGUGUUGAAGGAAAUGGACUCGCCCUAUAUUUGUGUAUUAUCAGUAUGCUGAUUGAUUAACCACAUCCAAAUCUGGAUGCAUCCUAUAUUGUUGAAAAUUGAUGAAUUGAAGGUGAACUAAACAAUUGAGAAAGAAAACUGGUUGCGUAACAUUAUUUUUGAUCUGCACAAUGCGCGCAUUCAUCUUUAAGUGACUGCAGCCUAUAUUCCUGCUGCUUUCUGUGUCAUGAAUGUCAAUGAAACAACAAAAGACAAAGAUAAAAAUCACUUUUGUAGUUUUCACACAGAUUAAUUCUAUUUAAUUUAUACAGUGAAAAAUAUGCAAAAAAAAAA